This 569-nucleotide ribosomal RNA is filed under the name uncultured archaeon. RNAcentral's name for it is "bacterial SSU rRNA". It matches the Rfam family "Archaeal small subunit ribosomal RNA", at positions 313 to 878 of the family's 1478-position model. The record is from RNAcentral.
GCGAAUCGCCCUUGGGGGUGCCCGAGGAUUCGAAUACUUUACAAUGCUGGCAACAGCAAUUAGGGGACCUUGAGUGCCAGGAUACAAUCCUGGCUGUCAUGAUGCCUAAAAAUGAUUAUAUACCUAGGGCCGGGCAAUACCGGUGCCAACCGCCCCGGUAACACCGGCGGCUCGAGUGGUAACCUCUAUUAUUGGGUCUAAAGGGUCUGUACCCGGCUAGGUUAUUCUCUUGGGAAAUCCGGCAGCUUAACUGUCAGGCUUUCCCGACAUACUGACUAGCUCCAAACCGUGAGAGGUGAGAGGUACUUCAUGGCUAGGGGAGAAAUCUUGUAAUCCUUGAUGGACCUCCAGAGACAAAUGCGUCUCACCAUAACGAAUCUUACGACUCAGGGAUAAAAGCUACGGGCUCGAACCGGAUUAUAUACCCGGGUAGUCGUAACCGUAAUUGAUACUCCCUAGGUGUCAGCCACUUUGUAACCGUGGUCACGUGCCCUACGGAAGCACGAGAACUCAACCUUCUGGUAAUUACAGUCGCUGCAUUGAAAAUUUUUCGACUUGGCUGGCGACCA